UUGAUGUUUUUGGGUUUAGAUUUGAAGGUUUAGGGUUUUAGGGUUAGGGUUCGAAUUUCAGAAAAAUAUAGGGUUUAGGGUUUACGUUUAGUGUUUAGAGUUGAUGUUUUAGGGUUUAGAUUAGAAGGUUUAGAGUUUAUGUUUCGGGGUUUAGGGUUUAGAAUUGAUGUUUCAGGGUUUAGGGUUUAGAGUUGAUGUUUCGGGGUUUAGGGUUUAGAGUUGAUGAUUUAAGGUUUAAAUUGAUAUUUUAAGUUUAGAUUUAGGGUUUAGGGUUUACCUUUAGGGUUUAGAGUUGAUAUUUUAGGGUUUAGAUUUGAAGGUUUAGGGUUUAGGGUUUAGAGUUGAUGUUUCGGGGUUUAGGGUUUAGAAUUGAUGUUUCGGGGUUUAGGGGUUUAGUUUUGAUGAUUUAAAGUUUUUCAUGUUUUAAGUUUAGAUUAGUUAACCGUAUGUUUUUUUUUU
Molecule: long non-coding RNA, 459 nt
Filed under: Brassica napus (rape)
Lineage: Eukaryota; Viridiplantae; Streptophyta; Magnoliopsida; Brassicales; Brassicaceae
Description: long non-coding RNA (BNAP_LNC017534)
Source: RNAcentral